UACGUAGGUGGCGAGCGUUGUCCGGAAUUACUGGGUGUAAAGGGCGUGUAGGCGGGAAUGUAAGUCAGAUGUGAAAUGCCAAGGCUUAACCUUGGAGCUGCAUCUGAAACUGCGUUUCUUGAGUGUCGGAGAGGAAAGUGGAAUUCCUAGUGUAGCGGUGAAAUGCGUAGAUAUUAGGAGGAACACCAGUGGCGAAGGCGACUUUCUGGACGAUAACUGACGCUGAGGCGCGAAAGCGUGGGGAGCAAACAGG
Molecule: ribosomal RNA, 253 nt
Filed under: uncultured Clostridiales Family III bacterium
Lineage: Bacteria; Bacillati; Bacillota; Clostridia; Eubacteriales; Eubacteriales Family III. Incertae Sedis
Description: partial 16S ribosomal RNA
Rfam family: Bacterial small subunit ribosomal RNA
Source: RNAcentral